RNAcentral lists this small RNA (28 nucleotides) under Bombyx mori (domestic silkworm). RNAcentral's name for it is "ovarian small RNA-33494". The record is from RNAcentral. Lineage: Eukaryota; Metazoa; Arthropoda; Insecta; Lepidoptera; Bombycidae.
UGCAGAAGGAACGGCCUCCUCAUCCUCG